GUGUCAGCAGCCGCGGUAACACCGGCGGCCCGAGUGGUGAUCGUGAUUAUUGGGUCUAAAGGGUCCGUAGCCGGUUUGGUCAGUCCUCCGGGAAAUCUGAUAGCUCAACUAUUAGGCUUUCGGGGGAUACUGCCAGACUUGGAACCGGGAGAGGUAAGAGGUACUACAGGGGUAGGAGUGAAAUCUUGUAAUCCCUGUGGGACCACCUGUGGCGAAGGCGUCUUACCAGAACGGGUUCGACGGUGAGGGACGAAAGCUGGGGGCACGAACCGGAUUAGAUACCCCCGUAGUCC
This 293-nucleotide ribosomal RNA is filed under the name uncultured bacterium. Its description in RNAcentral is "partial 16S ribosomal RNA". It matches the Rfam family "Archaeal small subunit ribosomal RNA", at positions 455 to 747 of the family's 1478-position model. The record is from RNAcentral.